CGACCCCGGGUCAUGCGAGACUACCCGCUGAGUUUAAGCAUAUCAAUAAG
This 50-nucleotide ribosomal RNA is filed under the name Garcinia gummi-gutta. Its description in RNAcentral is "partial 28S ribosomal RNA". Lineage: Eukaryota; Viridiplantae; Streptophyta; Magnoliopsida; Malpighiales; Clusiaceae. The record is from RNAcentral.